RNAcentral lists this ribosomal RNA (468 nucleotides) under uncultured bacterium. RNAcentral describes it as "partial 16S ribosomal RNA". It matches the Rfam family "Bacterial small subunit ribosomal RNA", at positions 28 to 507 of the family's 1533-position model. The record is from RNAcentral.
GACGAACGCUGGCGGCGUGCUUAACACAUGCAAGUCGAACGGAAAGGCCCUGCUUUUGUGGGGUGCUCGAGUGGCGAACGGGUGAUUAACACGUGAGUAACCUGCCCUUGACUUUGGGAUAACUUCAGGAAACUGGGGCUAAUACCGUAUAGGAGCUCCUGCUGCAUUGUGGGGGUUGGAAAGUUUCGGCGGUUGGGGAUGGACUCGCGGCUUAUCAGCUUGUUGGUGGGGUAGUGGAUUACCAAGGCUUUGACGGGUAGCCGGCCUGAGAGGGUGAACGGCCACAUUGGGACUGAGAUACGGACCAGACUCCUACGGGAGGCAGCAGUGGGGAAUAUUGCACAAUGGGCGGAAGCCUGAUGCAGCAACGCCGCGUGCGGGAUGAAGGACUUCGGGUUGUAAACCGCUUUCGCCUGUGACGAAGCGUGAGUGACGGUAAUGGGUAAAGAAGCACCGGCUAACUACGUG